CUUCUUUCUCUUUCGUCUCCCACGCUUUCUCCCCUUCUCUUCUUUCUCCUUUGUCUCUUUAGCCGAUUAACUUUCUCUCCUUUCUCCUUUCUCUCCUCCGCCCGUUGCUUCAUUCUAUUCGAUCUUCAUCUUGUUGUUGUUUUCAUCCUCUCAAGUUUUUAGAUCUGGUACCAGAGCAUUUUUGCGGAUCUCAGAUCCGAGAGCAAAGCUUGUCAAUACGAUGCUGACCGUGAUGUAAACUAAGGAAGAGAAGAGAAGCUCACUCGUCGCAACCCUCUCGAUUUCUCUACCCACCCUUCGUUGUAUACAACCUGUCAAGAAGCUACAAAGAUCAAUUUUGGCAUCUAACAAUUAGGAUUCCCUUGUGUUAAAGAUUGACAUGGACACAAUUGAAGUCAGUAACCUGAAUAGGCAAUUUCUAUUUCGUCCUUCUCAUGAAUAGGCAACCUGAGCUCAUUCUCCCUCGCUUCAAGGUAUGUAAGCAACUUGAGCUCAUUCUCCCUCGUUUGUGUUUGUUAAAUCCAGUUUAUGUAUAUGUAAGCAAUUCGAAUGCCUUGAAGUCCAACAGAAUAUGAUAUUGACAAAUCUUGUUGCCCAUCCUUGUAUCUCUUGUAGCCAGUUAUAAAUAUCAAACCGUAGGCAGUUUUUGUGAAUUGCAUUAAUCUAUGAAUAGACCUUGAUCAUCACGAAUUAACCAUCCUGAAGUAGCUUGUCUUUCUCCAUUGAUGAAGCUGCCAUCAUAAUUGCAUUUAACCCAUCGAGGAGGUGGUUUCUGCCAGGUAGAGGUGUCUCUUCUGUAACUACUAACAUUUGUUCGGUUUUGGGGUGAGGGCUCCGUGUUUGUAGCCAGAAUCGCUAACCAUUCAUCUGUUUCUUGCUUUGCUUCUCUUAAAACCCGUUGCCAAUGAUGAUUUAUUUUCUGAAAGGUGAGUAAGCUGAAUUGUAGUAGAGAUAAUCUAUCAUGGCUUCUCCGUUGUUUGUGAAAUUGCAGGAUCUCUUUAAUUUUGGCUUCAAGGGGUUCAGUUGGGUUUAGAAGACAAGAUAUUGGAACGUUUGAGCCUCUCCAAAUCUGCAUUAUAUGUGGACAAGAGAAGAAAAGAUGUUCAGUUGUUUGAUUACAGUGACACAUCGUUUGCAGAAAGGGUUCGUACUUCGUAGGCAUGUGACAUCCCUCGAGCUCUGCAUUUUCAAUAUAUAUUUUUUUUUAGUAGUAUGAUGUAUUCUUUGUAUUCUUAUUUUUAAUUAUGUUUUUAGUUUUA
Camelina sativa (false flax) is the source of this 1259-nucleotide non-coding RNA. Lineage: Eukaryota; Viridiplantae; Streptophyta; Magnoliopsida; Brassicales; Brassicaceae. The record is from RefSeq and is a predicted model, not a curated record.